This 338-nucleotide ribosomal RNA is filed under the name uncultured bacterium. RNAcentral describes it as "bacterial SSU rRNA". It matches the Rfam family "Bacterial small subunit ribosomal RNA", at positions 22 to 356 of the family's 1533-position model. The record is from RNAcentral.
GCUCAGAUUGAACGCUGGCGGCAGGCCUAACACAUGCAAGUCGAACGGUAACAGGAAGCAGCUUGCUGCUUUGCUGACGAGUGGCGGACGGGUGAGUAAUGUCUGGGAAACUGCCUGAUGGAGGGGGAUAACUACUGGAAACGGUAGCUAAUACCGCAUAACGUCGCAAGACCAAAGAGGGGGACCUUCGGGCCUCUUGCCAUCGGAUGUGCCCAGAUGGGAUUAGCUAGUAGGUGGGGUGACGGCUCACCUAGGCGACGAUCCCUAGCUGGUCUGAGAGGAUGACCAGCCACACUGGAACUGAGACACGGUCCAGACUCCUACGGGAGGCAGCAGUA